UACAGAGGUCCCAAGCGUUGUUCGGAUUCACUGGGCGUAAAGGGUGCGUAGGUGGUCGGGUAAGUCUGAUGUGAAAUCUCCGGGCCUAACCCGGAAACUGCAUCGGAUACUAUUCGGCUAGAGGGUUGGAGGGGGGACUGGAAUACUUGGUGUAGCAGUGAAAUGCGUAGAUAUCGGGAGGAACACCAGUGGCGAAGGCGGCCUUCUGGACCAGUACUGACGCUCAUGCACGAAAGCGUGGGGAGCAAACAGG
Molecule: ribosomal RNA, 253 nt
Filed under: uncultured bacterium
Lineage: Bacteria
Description: partial 16S ribosomal RNA
Rfam family: Bacterial small subunit ribosomal RNA
Source: RNAcentral